This 253-nucleotide ribosomal RNA is filed under the name uncultured bacterium. RNAcentral's name for it is "partial 16S ribosomal RNA". It matches the Rfam family "Bacterial small subunit ribosomal RNA", at positions 524 to 776 of the family's 1533-position model. The record is from RNAcentral.
UACGUAGGGUGCGAGCGUUAAUCGGAAUUACUGGGCGUAAAGCGUGCGCAGGCGGUUUUGUAAGCCAGAUGUGAAAUCCCCGGGCUUAACCUGGGAAUGGCAUUUGGGACUGCAAGGCUGGAGUGCGGCAGAGGAGACUGGAAUUCCACGUGUAGCAGUGAAAUGCGUAGAGAUGUGGAGGAACACCGAUGGCGAAGGCAGCCUCCUGGGCCAGCACUGACGCUCAUGCACGAAAGCGUGGGGAGCAAACAGG